Bradysia coprophila is the source of this 177-nucleotide long non-coding RNA. The record is from RefSeq and is a predicted model, not a curated record. Lineage: Eukaryota; Metazoa; Arthropoda; Insecta; Diptera; Sciaridae.
AAACAUGUAUGCGUGUACGAUUGCAUGUGUAGUAUGUUUUUAUUCACACCAAGAAAUCAUGACUCCUAUCUUUACGAGAAAACGCAAGACCUAUUUUGAUUACAUAAGCCUCCGAAUAUUUCUUAUGUUCAUGCUAGAAGCAGAGCUGUGUCAUUAGCCAAUGAAAGUUGACAUCAA